RNAcentral lists this ribosomal RNA (623 nucleotides) under Lactiplantibacillus plantarum. RNAcentral's name for it is "bacterial SSU rRNA". It matches the Rfam family "Bacterial small subunit ribosomal RNA", at positions 56 to 645 of the family's 1533-position model. The record is from RNAcentral. Lineage: Bacteria; Bacillati; Bacillota; Bacilli; Lactobacillales; Lactobacillaceae.
UGCAGUCGAACGAACUCUGGUAUUGAUUGGUGCUUGCAUCAUGAUUUACAUUUGAGUGAGUGGCGAACUGGUGAGUAACACGUGGGAAACCUGCCCAGAAGCGGGGGAUAACACCUGGAAACAGAUGCUAAUACCGCAUAACAACUUGGACCGCAUGGUCCGAGCUUGAAAGAUGGCUUCGGCUAUCACUUUUGGAUGGUCCCGCGGCGUAUUAGCUAGAUGGUGGGGUAACGGCUCACCAUGGCAAUGAUACGUAGCCGACCUGAGAGGGUAAUCGGCCACAUUGGGACUGAGACACGGCCCAAACUCCUACGGGAGGCAGCAGUAGGGAAUCUUCCACAAUGGACGAAAGUCUGAUGGAGCAACGCCGCGUGAGUGAAGAAGGGUUUCGGCUCGUAAAACUCUGUUGUUAAAGAAGAACAUAUCUGAGAGUAACUGUUCAGGUAUUGACGGUAUUUAACCAGAAAGCCACGGCUAACUACGUGCCAGCAGCCGCGGUAAUACGUAGGUGGCAAGCGUUGUCCGGAUUUAUUGGGCGUAAAGCGAGCGCAGGCGGUUUUUUAAGUCUGAUGUGAAAGCCUUCGGCUCAACCGAAGAAGUGCAUCGGAAACUGGGAAACUUGA